Salmo salar (Atlantic salmon) is the source of this 54-nucleotide non-coding RNA. Lineage: Eukaryota; Metazoa; Chordata; Actinopteri; Salmoniformes; Salmonidae. The record is from Rfam.
UACACGCAUGACUGUAAGUCACUUUGGACAAAAGCGUCUGCUAAAUGGUAUAUA